AUACUUUGCUUUGUACAAAUGACGCGUAUAUUUUUCUGUCUAUAUUACCAUUGUGAACCGUUUACUUGCUUUGAUUAAAUCAUGAAUCAUUAGAGUUUGCUUGCUUGUGCUUGGAUCCGUAGCAAAAGAAUGGUAUACUGCUCGUUUAGAUCUAGGUUUAGGCUUAGAAUAGAUUUUGGUUUUGGGGGUUUUCAUUGAAGGUUAAGAAGAAUAGAUUUCUUUGUUUAAUGUUCAUGAGAGACCGAAUGGAGAGGACGAAGCGUGAUGAUUGCUUUCCUUUGGUUUGUGCGUUUUAUUUUGAUUUAUCUGUGGAGUUAUUCGUUUCUAUUAAUAAUUAAUGUGAGCAGCUAGUCAUUAGUGGAC
This 363-nucleotide long non-coding RNA is filed under the name Lathyrus oleraceus (garden pea). RNAcentral's name for it is "Pisum sativum (pea) long non-coding RNA (PSAT_LNC006663)". The record is from RNAcentral. Lineage: Eukaryota; Viridiplantae; Streptophyta; Magnoliopsida; Fabales; Fabaceae.